Molecule: ribosomal RNA, 446 nt
Filed under: uncultured bacterium
Lineage: Bacteria
Description: partial 16S ribosomal RNA
Rfam family: Bacterial small subunit ribosomal RNA
Source: RNAcentral
CCUACGGGAGGCUGCAGUCGAGAAUCAUUCACAAUGGGGGAAACCCUGAUGGUGCGACGCCGCGUGGGGGAAUGAAGGUCUUCGGAUUGUAAACCCCUGUCAUGUGGGAGCAAAUUAAAAAGAUAGUCCCACAAGAGGAAGAGACGGCUAACUCUGUUACAGCAGCCGCGGUAAUACAGAGGGCUCAAGCGUUGUUCGGAAUCACUGGGCGUAAAGCGUGCGUAGGCUGUUUCGUAAGUCGUGUGUGAAAGGCGCGGGCUCAACCCGCGGACGGCACAUGAUACUGGGAGACUAGAGUAAUGGAGGGGGAACCGGAAUUCUCGGUGUAGCAGUGAAAUGCGUAGAUAGCGAGAGGAACACUCGUGGCGAAGGCGGGUUCCCGGACACUAACUGACGCUGAGGCACGAAGGCCAGGGGAGCGAAAGGGAUUAGAUACCCGGGUAGUC